This 1388-nucleotide long non-coding RNA is filed under the name Octopus sinensis (East Asian common octopus). RNAcentral's name for it is "uncharacterized LOC118768445, transcript variant X1". Lineage: Eukaryota; Metazoa; Mollusca; Cephalopoda; Octopoda; Octopodidae. The record is from RNAcentral.
CUUUAUGUUUGUUUGAGUCUCGCUUCCUGUGUAGCAUUUAAAGUAUUUUCAGUGCAAUAAUGCGGGUAGGGAGAGGGAUGUGUAGUUGAUGAAGUUUUGUGCAAUUAUACUGAAGCAUUUUUGGGAUACCUGUCAUCAUCCCCUGCUCCACCCGGGUAGAGUCAUUAAGGAAGAUGAAUGACAUCCAAAUGUCUUCAACUGUUUUUCCAUUCAGGGAAUAUCCCGGUGAUUUGCUCUGUGGAACAGUUGACAUUAAAGAUAACCGUUAGCAAAGUUCAUUAAAGAGAGCAGGUGUAUGUUCAUCCUGCUUGAUGGGGUGUGUCAGGAUUUUGUAUGUAGAUCUUUGGAGGACCAUUUUGAUUGAUAUUGCAGUAAAGCAGGAAGUAAGAAGGAUGCUUGUUAGUGAAGUCGAGAGGUGAGUGAAGAAUGCGAUGCCAUUGAUUUGGCAGAGAUAUAAGACAGGAAAGACAAAAGUAGAAAGGAAUUAUUGUCAAGUGGUAAUAAUUAAAUAAGAUAAUGGCUACAAAGAUAGGAUUAUGCAGAAUGUCUUUGUAGAAGAAAGAGGUUUAGGAAGGUUACUUUCGUUUGUUUUGGUACCACUGUAGCAAGUAUGAAAAUGUUGUCCAAACCCAUAGCGGUCAUUUGUGGAACAUUGAUGGAAGAAAAGUUUCACAAUAAUAGAAUAUAGAUUAUUAAGAUAAUUAACCAAAUUAUACUAUAAUGAGAAAUAUUUAUUUCAGAACCUCUAAAAGUAGAUGACAAGGAAGACCAGCAAGUGGCACAUAGCGCAAUCGCAACUCCAAAAGUAGAAGACAAGGAAGACCAGCAAGUGGCACAUAGCGCAAGAAGGUAAUGCUGACGGAGAUGCAUCUUCACAGAGUGGCUAAGAAAUUAGGAGGUAAAUGGAUGGAACUGGGAAGGCAAUUAGGAGUUAGACAAGUUGAACUAGAGAUGAUCAGGUAUGACUAUCCCUACAACACAGAAGAACAGAGCUUUCAGAUGCUCCUCAGAUGGUAUAGGUGUUGUGAUCCAAUGAAACGUACAUUGGAAACACUCAGAGAAGCACUUGAGAGAUGUGAGUGCUAUGAAGCCCUCAUGUGUCUAAUUGAAAUAGAGUGAAUUUCUGCAUAAAUGUUGUUGCUUAGUCCCAGGUCAGAAAUUUAUGAUCAAAUGCAUUCCGGCCAUGACCACCCUAACUUUAUUCUUAAUGUACAGGAGCCACACACACAUUGUCCAGCGUAUUCUUCUUUAAGGGGAUAAGUAUGAAUUGUGGUCGAUUUGGCUACUACUUCUAGCAGAUCUAUCUAUCACAAAGAAAUCCCUUUGCUGGUUUGUCUCCCCUGUUGUUAGAGAUUAACUUUUGAAAUAAAGAUAAACUUUCAACUGUU